RNAcentral lists this transfer RNA (74 nucleotides) under Blumeria hordei DH14. RNAcentral's name for it is "tRNA-Met (CAT) (tRNA-Met-CAT-3-1)". It matches the Rfam family "tRNA". Rfam says of the family: Transfer RNA (tRNA) molecules are approximately 80 nucleotides in length. Their secondary structure includes four short double-helical elements and three loops (D, anti-codon, and T loops). Lineage: Eukaryota; Fungi; Ascomycota; Leotiomycetes; Helotiales; Erysiphaceae. The record is from RNAcentral.
GUCUUCGUGGCUCAGUUGGUUAGAGCUUUGGACUCAUAGCCCAAAGGUCGCGAGCUCGAGUCUCGCUGAGGACA